Molecule: non-coding RNA, 775 nt
Filed under: Virgulibracon endoxylaphagus
Lineage: Eukaryota; Metazoa; Arthropoda; Insecta; Hymenoptera; Braconidae
Source: RNAcentral
AAAAACUUAAUUUUGAUUUUUAAAUUAAUUAAUAAUUUUACUUAUAUAUAAUUUUUUUUUAAAUAAUAUAAAUUUAAUUUAAUAUAUAAAAUUAAUUUUUUUAAAAAAUUAAUAAUUAAAAAAAUUAUUUAUUAUAAAUUAAUAAAGUGCCAGCAAUUGCGGUUAAACUUUUUAUAAAAAUUAAUAUUUUCAAUUUUAAUAAAAUUUUAAAUAAAAUAAUAUAAUUAUAAAAUAAAAUUAAUGAUAAAAUAUAAUUUUAUUUAAAUAAUUAUAUAAUUAAAUUAAUUUAUUUAAUAAAUUUUUUAAAAAACUAGGAUUAGAUACCCUAUUAUUAAAAUAAAAAUUUUUAAAAUUAAAUAAUUAAAUAUUCAAAAUACUAAAUUUAAAAAAUUUGGCGGUAUUUUAUUUUAUUAGAGAAACUUAUUUUAUAAUAGAUAAUACACUAUAGUAACAACUUGAAUUUUUAAUAUUUUAAAUAUAAAUAUUAAUUUAUUUAUAUAUUGUUGUUUAAAAAUUAUAUUUUAAAAUUUAAUUAAAAAAUUUUUUAAAAUAAAAAUUCAAAUCAAAAUAUAAUUCAUAUUUAAGAAAAAAGGAGUUUUAAUUAUUUAAAUUAUAAUUUUAAUAAAUUAAAUUUUUUAAAAAAAUAAAAUUUAAAAGUAAAAAAAAUUAAUUAAUUUUUUUGAAAAUUAAAUUAAAAUAUGUACAUAUCGCCCGUCAUUCUCAAUUUUUGAGACAAGUCGUAACAAAGUAAAUUUACUGGAAAGUGAAUUUAGAU